Molecule: non-coding RNA, 969 nt
Organism: Podarcis muralis (Common wall lizard)
Lineage: Eukaryota; Metazoa; Chordata; Lepidosauria; Squamata; Lacertidae
Source: RefSeq, a predicted model, not a curated record
UAGUGGUUCUUCGAGCGCGUUCGCCUCCUCCUUUUAGGCUGGGCUCUUAAGGGUUAAGGCGAGGGGGGAAGCGUUGGUGGACGCACAGGCCGGCUCAUGUCCUGUCAGUGGCGAAUUCGCAAUUUCACUCCCUUUCUGAGCAUCCUUGCUCCCUACUGCCAGCAAUUUCUUGCUGUGGUCGUACACUCCAGCAACCCAGAUUCUCCACCGUUCCGCAAAUUCUUGCUCAGGUUUCAAGCAAGCCACUGACAGCAGCCUGUCCUAUUUUGGGGAACGUAGCCUCCUCGACUGCGGAUGCAGCUUAACAAUAACGCAGGAAGCAUGUUAAAGAACUGCAGCUAUUUGCCUUGCACGUUGUGUUCAUUUCUCUUUAUAUCUCCAUUUUCUUGCUCCGAUCCCAUAAAGGACAAUCUCUCUUGCAAACAAAACCCCCAGAGCCUAGUUAGCGGGACCGAAGGCUCCCAGACACGGAUUGCCUGCCAGCCACAGCACGAUCAGAUUUGUCGGCAUGGCAGACAGCCCCUGGCAGUCCCAGUCUCCAUUUUCAUCCUCUGAAAUCUUCCAGCCUUAAGUAACACAUUUAGAUUCGCCGUUCCUCUCUCUCUCUCCAUUCUGGAAACUGACGACGCACAUCGCCAAUGCUGUUCAGUUCCAUUCAGCUUACCCAGAGAAAAAAGCAUGUCGGGGUUUUGCUGUCGUCGUCAUCGCCGUUCUGUGUAAAACCUUACCGAAUCCUAGUUGCUUUGCCUGCCUGGAUUGCUUUAGAUACUAAAGAAGGCUCAUUUUAUUCGUGCUUGGAUGUAUCUGAAGAAGUGUUUCUGGAACAGAACCCACCUCUUUCGUUAGGGUGGUGUUUCUGUCGCCAACAUUAUCCAGAAGCUUUUCUUCCAGCGUUUAGAUGCCUUCUUGCUGGAUUUAAAUAGAUGUCUUGACUAACUAAAAAAUAAAUAAAAAAUGCAAACGCAGCAA